This 253-nucleotide ribosomal RNA is filed under the name uncultured bacterium. RNAcentral's name for it is "partial 16S ribosomal RNA". It matches the Rfam family "Bacterial small subunit ribosomal RNA", at positions 524 to 776 of the family's 1533-position model. The record is from RNAcentral.
UACGAAGGAUUCGAGCGUUAUCCGGAUUUAUUGGGUUUAAAGGGUGCGUAGGUGGACUACUAAGUCAGUGGUGAAAGCCCGCAGCUUAACUGCGGAACUGCCAUUGAUACUGUUAGUCUUGAGUACAGUUGAGGUGGGCGGAAUGUGUCAUGUAGCGGUGAAAUGCUUAGAUAUGACACAGAACACCGAUUGCGAAGGCAGCUCACUAAGCAAAUAUUGACGCUGAGGCACGAAAGCGUGGGGAUCAAACAGG